UGACUUAGUAUCUAUGGUUCAGUGAUUUAUUACUUUUGAAUUCAUUUGGUUUUAUGAAUGUAAUAAAGGAUUUAUGAUUUUUACAAAAUGAAAAUGAUUUUCUAACCCUCGUGAUAGCUAGUUUUAAAAGGAAAUGGUUUCCGUGUGGGAAACGAUUUUUAAAAAAAUUUUCUGAUUUUUUCUGGAUAUUAGUAUUUCAAAACGAGUUUCCGGAUAGGAAACAUUUUGAACUUAUAGAUGUGGAUUUAUAAAGAUUUGUGAUGAAAUAACUGUGGAUGUGAAUCGUGAAUGAAUGUGGAUGUUCAUAUGUAUGGUUGUAUCUUAUCGUGUAUCUUGUACUUGUGCGACG
Molecule: long non-coding RNA, 349 nt
Filed under: Ananas comosus (pineapple)
Lineage: Eukaryota; Viridiplantae; Streptophyta; Magnoliopsida; Poales; Bromeliaceae
Description: long non-coding RNA (ACOM_LNC043201)
Source: RNAcentral